RNAcentral lists this transfer RNA (89 nucleotides) under Moniliophthora roreri. It matches the Rfam family "tRNA". From Rfam's summary of the family: Transfer RNA (tRNA) molecules are approximately 80 nucleotides in length. The record is from Rfam by way of RNAcentral. Lineage: Eukaryota; Fungi; Basidiomycota; Agaricomycetes; Agaricales; Marasmiaceae.
GGGCACUUGGCACAGUGGUAGCGCGCACGCUUCGCAAGAGUGCAAGAAAUCUAUGCGUGAGGUCCAGGGUUCAAUCCCCUGAGUGUCCA